RNAcentral lists this long non-coding RNA (691 nucleotides) under Rattus norvegicus (Norway rat). Its description in RNAcentral is "long non-coding RNA NONRATT025470". Lineage: Eukaryota; Metazoa; Chordata; Mammalia; Rodentia; Muridae. The record is from RNAcentral.
AGUUCCCAGUGUCAGGUAGAGAAGAGUGUUAGGAAGAAGAAAUUAUACAUAGUGGGUACCUCAUUCAUCCACCCACCCCUGCAUGCCAUGCCUGGGUCUGUGUGUGUGUGUGUGUGUGUGUGUGUGUGUGUGUGUGUGUGUGUGUGUAGCCUGGGACUGCAGCCAUCCCUCUGCAGGCUCCAGCUCACUUACCUUCCUUUUCUCCACAGACCCAGGCACCCCGCUGCCUCCAGACCCCACAGCUCCGAGCCCAGGCACAGUCACCCCUGUGCCACCCCCACAGUGAGGAACCAGCCAGCUAUCUCCCCUCACUCCCCAUGGAGAUCACAGUCCAGGAACCACCCUCCCCCACAACUGGGACCCUCCCUCAGCCUGGAGAGUUCAUCACUACGUAAGGAAAGCUCCUGCCCCUUCACCACCCCACAUGCCCAGCAGAGGUGUGCAGUUUUAUAUCCAAUAUUAUCCACGGACUUCUAAGAUGUUUCUAAUGCCUGGGAGAGAGGAUAGGAGGGAAGGAUGUUUAUUCAAGGUUCUAUUACUGGUUCUGAGGGUGUACCUUCAGAAUUACUGCAGUUUUGAAGUGAUAACAUGAAAAUGAAACCCUUUAAAAGGGAGGUUUUAAAAAGACACAUCUGAGACCACAAAAAAGAACUUUUUAUUUUUAUUUUUGAGGGGAAAGGGAACGUUUUAA